UUUUAACAGAAAUCCUGAUCAGGCUAUACAGUUUACGACAGGUGGAAAUAAUAAUUCGAUUCAUGUGGGUUCCAGCACACGUGGGUAUUCAAGGUGGCGGUAUGCACCUUUAAAGUUGGUUCGCAAACCACCAUAAAACCAAAAGAAGAAGAAGAAGAAAAUACAAACGGUGGAGACAGAUGAAAAGGUAAUGAUGUCAGCCAACUGAAAGAUUUGGAGGAGCACUGAAUCAGCCAAGGCCUACUCAAACUGGAACUGAGGUGGGGUAGACACACUCUGUCCUGAGGUUCAGAGCAGCAAGAGGGAUUCAUCCCCCAUCUGCUGCUGUGAAAAUGGGGCACACGACCCUUGUAGCAGCCCCUCCCGACACAGCCUACGACGGUAGAGUGAAAGAGGCCCAACGGCGCUGAGCACACAAUAGAGGAGUCUGCACGUCUGUCACUUUGGGCGUAUAACACAGACCGGAGGCCCCAAACAGUCUUUUUAGCUUUUCACUUAAUGAAAUGGAGUGUGUGUGUGUGUGUGUCUGUACACCUGUCACUGCAUUACCUUGGUUACUCCUUAAAGGAACGCUAUUUCAUGGUGUCUUUCUGUCCUUAUGUGUUCAUGCAAGUAUAAUAUAAAGGCAGAGGGCUCAGCACAUUUCUAAAAGCACAACUGCAGUGAACACCUGACGAGUAAAACCUCCUUUGCCCUUUCAUUAGGAUUUGAAACUGGUUUUACACAUUUAACAAGCCAGCGCAGCAUUGAAGUAUGUUACUGUUUUCCUAAGGGCUUGACAUGGCAUUAUGAGAGAGAACAUGUAAUAUGCACCUUAAACUUUUCUCGUAAUGUCGAGUGAGGAUCUCUCCUGGAUAUAAUUAAAAAAAAAUGUAUA
Pimephales promelas (fathead minnow) is the source of this 877-nucleotide non-coding RNA. NCBI's taxonomy places the organism in Eukaryota, Metazoa, Chordata, Actinopteri, Cypriniformes, Leuciscidae. The record is from RefSeq and is a predicted model, not a curated record.